RNAcentral lists this ribosomal RNA (476 nucleotides) under uncultured organism. Its description in RNAcentral is "partial 16S ribosomal RNA". It matches the Rfam family "Bacterial small subunit ribosomal RNA", at positions 333 to 800 of the family's 1533-position model. The record is from RNAcentral.
ACACUCCUACGGGAGGCAGCAGUGGGGAAUUUUGGACAAUGGGCGAAAGCCUGAUCCAGCCAUGCCGCGUGCAGGAUGAAGGCCUUCGGGUUGUAAACUGCUUUUGUACGGAACGAAACGGCCUUUUCUAAUAAAGAGGGCUAAUGACGGUACCGUAAGAAUAAGCACCGGCUAACUACGUGCCAGCAGCCGCGGUAAUACGUAGGGUGCAAGCGUUAAUCGGAAUUACUGGGCGUAAAGCGUGCGCAGGCGGUUAUGUAAGACAGUUGUGAAAUCCCCGGGCUCAACCUGGGAACUGCAUCUGUGACUGCAUAGCUAGAGUACGGUAGAGGGGGAUGGAAGUCCGCGUGUAGCAGUGAAAUGCGUAGAUAUGCGGAGGAACACCGAUGGCGAAGGCAAUCCCCUGGACCUGUACUGACGCUCAUGCACGAAAGCGUGGGGAGCAAACAGGAUUAGAUACCCCAGUAGUCCCAUGA